Molecule: ribosomal RNA, 440 nt
Filed under: uncultured bacterium
Lineage: Bacteria
Description: partial 16S ribosomal RNA
Rfam family: Bacterial small subunit ribosomal RNA
Source: RNAcentral
CCUACGGGAGGCAGCAGUGGGGAAUAUUGCACAAUGGGCGAAACCCUGAUGCAGCGACGCCGCGUGAGUGAAGAAGGCAUUCGUUAUGUAAAGCUCUUUUAGCAGGGAAGAAAAUGACGGUACGUGAGUCAGAAGCCCCGGCUAACUACGUGCAAGCAGCCGCGGCAAUACGUAGGGGGCAAGCGUUAUCCGGAUGUACUGGGUGUAAAGGGAGCGUAGUCGGCAGUGCAAGUCUGGAGGGAAAGGCGGGGGCUCAACCCCCGGACUGCUGUGGAAACUGUAAGGCUGGAGUGCAGGAGGGGCAGGCGGAAUGCCGGGUGUAGCGGUGAAAUGCGUAGAUAUCAGGAGGAACACCGGUGGCGAAGGCGGCCUGCUGGACUGCGACUGACGUUGAGGCCCGAAAGCGUGGGGAGCAAACAGGAUUAGAUACCCCAGUAGUC